This 403-nucleotide ribosomal RNA is filed under the name uncultured bacterium. RNAcentral describes it as "partial 16S ribosomal RNA". It matches the Rfam family "Bacterial small subunit ribosomal RNA", at positions 29 to 526 of the family's 1533-position model. The record is from RNAcentral.
AUUGAACGCUGGCGGCAGGCCUAACACAUGCAAGUCGAGCGAGAGGCGGACGGGUGAGUAAUGUAUGGGGACUGCCCGAUAGAGGGGGGUAAAUACUGGAAACGGUAGCUAAUACCGCAUACUAUCGGAUAACCCAUGUGGGAUUAGCUAGUAGGUGAGGUAAUGGUGAACCUAGGCGACGAGCCCUAGCUGGGCUGAGAGGAUGAUAAGCCACACUGGGACUGAGACACGGCCCAGACUCCGACGGAGGCAGCAGUGGGGAAUAUUGAGCAAUGGGCGCAAGCCUGAUGCAGCCAUGCCGCGUGUAUGAAGAAGGCCCUAGGGUUGUAAAGUACUUUCAGUCGGGAGGCGUUACCGACAGAAGAAGCACCGGCUAACUCCGUGCCAGCAGCCGCGGUAAUUC